AUUGAACGCUGGCGGCAGGCCUAACACAUGCAAGUCGAGCGGAUGAAGGGAGCUUGCUCCUGGAUUCAGCGGCGGACGGGUGAGUAAUGCCUAGGAAUCUGCCUGGUAGUGGGGGACAACGUUUCGAAAGGAACGCUAAUACCGCAUACGUCCUACGGGAGAAAGCAGGGGACCUUCGGGCCUUACGCUAUCAGAUGAGCCUAGGUCGGAUUAGCUAGUUGGUGAGGUAAUGGCUCACCAAGGCGACGAUCCGUAACUGGUCUGAGAGGAUGAUCAGUCACACUGGAACUGAGACACGGUCCAGACUCCUACGGGAGGCAGCAGUGGGGAAUAUUGGACAAUGGGCGAAAGCCUGAUCCAGCCAUGCCGCGUGUGUGAAGAAAGUCUUCGGAUUGUAAAGCACUUUAAGUUGGGAGGAAGGGUUGUAGAUUAAUACUCUGCAAUUUUGACGUUACCGACAGAAUAAGCACCGGCUAACUCUGUGCCAGCCGCCGCAGUAA
RNAcentral lists this ribosomal RNA (500 nucleotides) under uncultured bacterium. Its description in RNAcentral is "partial 16S ribosomal RNA". It matches the Rfam family "Bacterial small subunit ribosomal RNA", at positions 30 to 523 of the family's 1533-position model. The record is from RNAcentral.